This 440-nucleotide ribosomal RNA is filed under the name uncultured bacterium. RNAcentral's name for it is "partial 16S ribosomal RNA". It matches the Rfam family "Bacterial small subunit ribosomal RNA", at positions 338 to 795 of the family's 1533-position model. The record is from RNAcentral.
CCUACGGGAGGCAGCAGUGGGGAAUAUUGCACAAUGGGGGAAACCCUGAUGCAGCGACGCCGCGUGAAGGAAGAAGUAUUUCGGUAUGUAAACUUCUAUCAGCAGGGAAGAAAAUGACGGUACCUGACUAAGACGCCGCGGCUAACUACGUGCCAGCAGCCGCGGUAAUACGUAGGGGGCAAGCGUUAUCCGGAUUUACUGGGUGGAAAGGCGGCGUAGGCGGUGCAGACAGUCAGAAGGGAAAGCGCGGGGCUCAACGCCGGGACUGCUUUUGAAACUGUUGAACUAGAUGGCAGGAGAGGGAAGUGGAAUGCCUAGUGUAGCGGUGAAAUGCGUAGAUAUUAGGAGGAACACCAGUGGCGAAGGCGGCAUACUGGACUGUAAAUGACGCUGAGGCUCGAAAGCGUGGGGAGCAAACAGGAUUAGAUACCCGAGUAGUC